This 684-nucleotide long non-coding RNA is filed under the name Homo sapiens (human). RNAcentral describes it as "HSALNT0062335". The record is from RNAcentral. Lineage: Eukaryota; Metazoa; Chordata; Mammalia; Primates; Hominidae.
GAAAAUAUGAUAAAAACUAGAGAUGAGAUGCACCUAUGCAUAGACAACAACUAAAAAAGGUCAUCAUUUCAGGGGAUUCAUAUUGCUUGAAACUUAUCUACAGAACCUGUCAUCUUCAAGAAACUUCUUCUCUGAUUCAAUAAAAUACAUUCACAGAAUUAUCAGUAGAAUAAUUACCAAAUGUUCUAUUGCUUACAGAUACAUAUGUGUACACACAAACUAGAGAUUCCAUUCUAAGGAGGCCCCUUUUGUUUAGAUAAGCAUAAUGAUGGUUUUAUGUGUGCAAGUCUGGAGAUAACUUGUUUAGAGUAGCACUGGGGCAGAGAGGAUGAUCUGUAAUGGAGACAUGUCCUAGACAGGAUAAGCAAAGUUAGGCUGGGCAGCGUACAACCCUCACAGCUCGGUGCUUUAGCUGUCUUAACAUAAUGAGGGCUUCUUUCUCCACAAAUCACCUUUUGAGUUUGGGCAGCAUUCCAACUCAGCAGUCCAGGCCACUUCUGUCCUAGGUCUCUACUGUCAAAACCCAAGGUCUUCUCAUGAUUGCCAUACCUUUCCCUUUACUUAGAGUUUAUUCUUCUUUCAAAAAGAGAAUUUGAUUGAGUUAGUUGUCCUCAUUGCAUCCAUUAAGGGCCUCAGCUGGGCAAAGUUCUUGCAAAUCUUCUCAGGCAUUGUUGGUUCCCUCUC